CUACGGGUUGCUGCAGUGAGGAAUAUUGCACAAUGGGGGGAACCCUGAUGCAGCAACGCCGCGUGGAGGAUGACGCAUUUCGGUGUGUAAACUCCUUUUAUAUGUCAAGAAAAUGACGGUAGCAUAUGAAUAAGCACCGGCUAACUCCGUGCCAGCAGCCGCGGUAAUACGGAGGGUGCAAGCGUUACUCGGAAUCACUGGGCGUAAAGGACGCGUAGGCGGGCUUGUAAGUCAGGUGUGAAAUCCUACAGCUUAACUGUAGAACUGCACUUGAAACUACGAGCCUAGAGUAUGGGAGGGGGAGAUGGAAUUAGUGGUGUAAGGGUAGAAUCCGUAGAUAUCACUAGGAAUACCUAAAGCGAAGGCGAUCUCCUGGAACAUAACUGACGCUAAGGCGUGAAAGCGUGGGGAGCAAACAGGAUUAGAUACCCGCGUAGUC
This 439-nucleotide ribosomal RNA is filed under the name uncultured bacterium. RNAcentral describes it as "partial 16S ribosomal RNA". It matches the Rfam family "Bacterial small subunit ribosomal RNA", at positions 339 to 795 of the family's 1533-position model. The record is from RNAcentral.